RNAcentral lists this ribosomal RNA (274 nucleotides) under uncultured bacterium. Its description in RNAcentral is "partial 16S ribosomal RNA". It matches the Rfam family "Bacterial small subunit ribosomal RNA", at positions 523 to 796 of the family's 1533-position model. The record is from RNAcentral.
AUGCAGGGGGUGCGAGCGUUAAUCGGAAUUACUGGGCGUAAAGAGUACGUAGGCGGUUGCUUAAGUCAGAUGUGAAAGCCCCGGGCUCAACCUGGGAACUGCAUUUGAAACUGAGUGACUAGAGUUUAAGAGAGGGGAGUAGAAUUCCGGGUGUAGCGGUGAAAUGCGUAGAGAUCCGGAGGAAUACCAGUGGCGAAGGCGGCUCCCUGGCUUAAAACUGACGCUGAGGUACGAAAGCGUGGGUAGCAAACAGGAUUAGAAACCCUAGUAGUCC